UUAACUGAAACCAAAAAGAGGUAUACCACUAUUAAUGGUAUCAUUGAUUCCAUCCAGUUUAG
Molecule: transfer RNA, 62 nt
Filed under: Cryptocercus punctulatus (brown-hooded cockroach)
Lineage: Eukaryota; Metazoa; Arthropoda; Insecta; Blattodea; Cryptocercidae
Description: tRNA-Asn
Source: RNAcentral